GGAAGUAAAAGUCGCAACAAGGUUUCCGUAGGUGAACCUGCGGAAGGAUCAUUAUUGUAUAACCGAGGUGCGAAGGCUGUCGCUGACCCGAAAGGUCGUGCACGCCCGAGUGCCCUCACACACAUCCAUCUCACCCCUAUGUGCACCACCGCGUGGGUCCCCCUUUGGCUUGUUCGGAGGGGGGCUUACGUUUUCACACAAACUUUGUAUGCAGUGUAGAAUGUAUUUUUUGUUUUUGCGAUCACGCAAUCAAUACAACUUUCAACAACGGAUCUCUAGGCUCUC
This 285-nucleotide unclassified non-coding RNA is filed under the name plant metagenome. RNAcentral describes it as "partial contains small subunit ribosomal RNA and internal transcribed spacer 1". The stretch from base 1 to 54 matches the Rfam family "Eukaryotic small subunit ribosomal RNA", at positions 1778 to 1831 of the family's 1831-position model. The record is from RNAcentral.